CCUACGGGCGACAGCAGUGAGGAAUAUUGGUCAAUGGCCGGAAGGCUGAACCAGCCAAGCCGCGUGAAGGACGAAGGUGCCAAGCAUUGUAAACUUCUUUUGUCAAGGGACAAAAUCAGGCUCGAGAGCCUGACCGAGGGUACUUGAAGAAAAAGCAUCGGCUAACUCCGUGCCAGCAGCCGCGGUAAUACGGAGGAUGCGAGCGUUAUCCGGAUUUAUUGGGUUUAAAGGGGGCGCAGACGGCAAUGCAAGCCAGGAGUGAAAGCCCGGGGCCCAACCCCGGGACUGCUCUUGGAACUGCAUGGCUGGAGUACAGGAGGGGCAGGCGGAAUUCCUAGUGUAGCGGUGAAAUGCGUAGAUAUUAGGAGGAACACCGGUGGCGAAGGCGGCCUGCUGGACUGUGACUGACGUUGAGGCCCGAAGGCGUGGGGAGCAAACAGGAUUAGAUACCCGAGUAGUC
This 460-nucleotide ribosomal RNA is filed under the name uncultured bacterium. RNAcentral's name for it is "partial 16S ribosomal RNA". It matches the Rfam family "Bacterial small subunit ribosomal RNA", at positions 338 to 795 of the family's 1533-position model. The record is from RNAcentral.